Molecule: small nucleolar RNA, 103 nt
Organism: Nycticebus coucang (slow loris)
Lineage: Eukaryota; Metazoa; Chordata; Mammalia; Primates; Lorisidae
Product: small nucleolar RNA U13
Exons: 1
Source: RefSeq, a predicted model, not a curated record
AUUGUUUUGUGGCUUAUAAAUGUGAUGGUUGGGUUUUCAUGUUCAUGUAUAAGAUACACUUCCCUCCAACCUUGUUACAACGUCUGCACAUUACUAUCUGGCA